ACAAACUUAGCAAAUCUCCAAGUCCUCAAAUUGAGCUAUUUAAAUGUGGUAAGUAUAUUAUUUCUCUCAUCUGAAGGCUGAGGCAUUGUGUACAUUACCAUUCCCAGCACCUCUAUCUGCUGAGCCAUCUCUCUGGACUCAGCCUGUUACUUGUAAGGCAGAAUUCUCCUCACCCUGAGGUUCAUGUUUGUUUCCACGAGUCUGGAAGCCGCGGAGCCACAGCAACCCUCCUGCAUGUCCAUCUUCUCAGGAUGUCAUCUGGACUUAAAUGAUUCUCACUUGCAUUAACGCAGUAACUAAUUUGAUUAAAUUGUAUGCAUUAAAAAUCACCAAGGAUCCUCUCCUGAUCACUACACGAGGCUCAAAUGAGCAAAGACCAAACAGACAUUCCAGGUGCAACGCACAGGUCCACACAGGGGUUUUCAUGGGAAAACGAUGCUUACAGACCCGUCGGGCAAGUCUGAAAACCAUCAUCAUACGCAAGAUCUGCUCCAGUGGAAAGCAAAUUUUCACAACCUUGUAAAUGGCCCCAAGCGCCAGUGUGGCGAUAAACAUCAACUCAAAAAGCAACACAGAGCAAAAAACCGACUGAAGGAGUAUGAUUCUAUUAAUAGCACCAAUUAGAGAGUUUUACAUGAGAUAGGACAGGAUACUGGGUUAUUUGUUAAUUAAAUAUAUCAAUCUUUUGGUUUGAAAACUACUAAGAAUAGCCUAGAAUAACCCCUUCCAGUUCACUGACUUUCUGAAAGUCAUUGGGGGUGGUGAUAAUUUUGGACAAAUAAAACCUUCAUUGAUCCUAAAAAAUUGGACA
Molecule: long non-coding RNA, 811 nt
Filed under: Mus spicilegus (steppe mouse)
Lineage: Eukaryota; Metazoa; Chordata; Mammalia; Rodentia; Muridae
Description: lncRNA (ENSMSIG00000010252.1)
Source: RNAcentral